CCUACGGGAGGCAGCAGUGGGGAAUAUUGCGCAAUGGGCGAAAGCCUGACGCAGCGACGCCGCGUGAGGGAUGAAGGUCUUCGGAUCGUAAACCUCUGUCAGCAGGGAAGAACGGUCACUGUGCUAAUCAGCAGUGAAUUGACGGUACCUGCAAAGGAAGCACCGGCUAACUCCGUGCCAGCAGCCGCGGUAAUACGGAGGGUGCGAGCGUUAAUCGGAAUUACGGGGCGUAAAGCGCUCGUAGGCGGUAUGUCAAGUCAAGGGUGAAAUCCCCGCGCUCAACGUGGGAACUGCCUUUGAAACUUGGAAACUGGAGUAUGUGAGAGGAUAGUGGAACUCCGGGUGUAGGAGUGAAAUCCGUAGAUAUCUGGAGGAACAGCAGGGGCGAAGGCGACUAUCUGGCACAUAACUGACGCUGAGGAGCGAAAGCGUGGGUAGCAAACAGGAUUAGAUACCCGUGUAGUC
RNAcentral lists this ribosomal RNA (465 nucleotides) under uncultured bacterium. RNAcentral describes it as "partial 16S ribosomal RNA". It matches the Rfam family "Bacterial small subunit ribosomal RNA", at positions 338 to 795 of the family's 1533-position model. The record is from RNAcentral.